This 1329-nucleotide ribosomal RNA is filed under the name metagenome. Its description in RNAcentral is "bacterial LSU rRNA". It matches the Rfam family "Bacterial large subunit ribosomal RNA", at positions 1573 to 2925 of the family's 2925-position model. The record is from RNAcentral.
UCGAAAUAAAGUAGUGAAGCGUGUGAGCCAUGUGCCGAGAAAAGCUGCUAUUGUGUAAUGCGUGCCCGUACCGUAAACCGACACAGGUGGAUGAGGAGAGAAUCCUAAGGCCGACGGAAGAAGCAUUGUUAAGGAAUUCGGCAAAAUGACCCCGUAACUUCGGGAGAAGGGGUGCCUGCGAGAGCAGGCCGCAGAGAAUAGGCUCAAGCAACUGUUUAGCAAAAACACAGGUCUAUGCGAAACCGAAAGGUGAAGUAUAUGGGCUGACGCCUGCCCCUGCUGGAAGGUUAAGAGGAGAGGUUAGCGUAAGCGAAGCUUUGAAUUUAAGCCCCAGUAAACGGCGGCCGUAACAAUAACGGUCCUAAGGUAGCGAAAUUCCUUGUCGGGUAAGUUCCGACCCGCACGAAAGGCGUAAUGAUUUGAGCACUGUCUCGACAAUGCAUCCGGUGAAAUUGAAGUACCAGUGAAGAUGCUGGUUACCCGCGCCAGGACGGAAAGACCCCAUGGAGCUUUACUCCAGUUUGAUACUGGGAUUCGGUACUGCAUGUACAGGAUAGGUGGGAGACAAAGAAGGAUGGACGCCAGUCUGUCCGGAGUCGCUGUUGGGAUACCACCCCUGUAGUACUGGGUUUCUAACCAGUUGCCAUGAACUGGCAAUGGGACAAUGUCAGGCGGGGAGUUUGACUGGGGCGGUCGCCUCCGAAAGGGUAUCGGAGGCGCUCAGAGGUUCCCUCAGAAUGGUUGGAAACCAUUUGAAGAGUGCAAAGGCAGAAGGGAGCUUGACUGCGACACCGACGGGUGGAGCAGGUACGAAAGUAGGACUUAGUGAUCCGGUGGUAUAAAGUGGGAUUGCCAUCGCUCAACGGAUAAAAGCUACCCUGGGAUAACAGGCUUAUCACUCCCAAGAGUUCACAUCGACGGAGUGGUUUGGCACCUCGAUGUCGGCUCAUCGCAUCCUGGGGCUGUAGCAGGUCCCAAGGGUUGGGCUGUUCGCCCAUUAAAGCGGUACGCGAGCUGGGUUCAGAACGUCGUGAGACAGUUCGGUCCCUAUCCGGCGCGGGCGGAGGAUAUUUGAGAGGAGCUGUCCUUAGUACGAGAGGACCGGGAUGGACGGACCACUGGUGUAUCUGUUGUCGACCAACGGCAUGGCAGAGUAGCCAAGUCUGGAAGGGAUAAACGCUGAAGGCAUCUAAGCGUGAAGCCCCCCUCAAGAUGAGAUAUCCCUCCUUCGGGAGUAAGACCCCUUGAAGACUACAAGGUAGAUAGGGCAGAGGUGGAAGCAUGGCAACAUGUGGAGCUGACUGUUACUAAUAGGUCGAGGGCUUAAUC